Molecule: small nucleolar RNA, 137 nt
Organism: Cavia aperea (Brazilian guinea pig)
Lineage: Eukaryota; Metazoa; Chordata; Mammalia; Rodentia; Caviidae
Source: Ensembl
AUGGCUCUGAAUCAAGGCCGGCAGUUUUCUAAAGCUGUUGGUUUCAAGCGGGAGCCUAAAGAGUUAUCUUUCUAUGGUCUGCUGGCCAUUUCAGAAUUUUAGAAAUGCAUUGGUCAAUUCAUUAAAAAGAAGCAACC